This 480-nucleotide ribosomal RNA is filed under the name uncultured bacterium. RNAcentral describes it as "partial 16S ribosomal RNA". It matches the Rfam family "Bacterial small subunit ribosomal RNA", at positions 28 to 507 of the family's 1533-position model. The record is from RNAcentral.
GAUGAACGCUAGCGGCAGGCCUAACACAUGCAAGUCGAGCGAGAGGUUACCUUCGGGUAACCAAAACCGGCGCACGGGUGCGUAACGCGUAUACAAUCUGCCUUUCACAUAGGGAUAGCCCGAAGAAAUUUGGAUUAAUACCUAAUGGUAUAUAAGAGCGGCAUCGUUUUUAUAUUAAAGCUACGGCGGUGAAAGAUGAGUAUGCGUUCUAUUAGCUAGUUGGUGAGGUAACGGCUCCCCAAGGCGACGAUAGAUAGGGGUUCUGAGAGGGAUGUCCCCCACACUGGUACUGAGAUACGGACCAGACUCCUACGGGAGGCAGCAGUGAGGAAUAUUGGACAAUGGUCGGAAGACUGAUCCAGCCAUGCCGCGUACAGGAUGAAGGUCCUAUGGAUUGUAAGCUGCUUUUGUAAGGGAAGAAUAAGGGGUACGUGUACUUUGAUGACGGUACCUUACGAAUAAGCAUCGGCUAACUCCGUG